CGCGACGACGUCGUUUUUUCCCCCUCAACACUUAUCAAUGUUUGAUACAUAAAUAUAUAAAGCCAAGGAUAUUCGGCUUAUCGUACAGCACAGUUUUGUUGUAUCCCUAUACGCGGUUUACACGCGUACACUUUAGACGACGAUAACGACCACCUACCGGCUGUUCAGAGAGUUGGUCGUUAUCAGCGCGAUUUGUUUCGCAGCGAGCUGUGGAAAAUAAUCCUCGGGCGGUGCGGCGCCGCAAGAAAAAGCCUUAAGCCAUUGCGUGGCAUUGGCUCGCGCGUGCAAACAAACCUACCCAGCAGCUCUUUCAGGAAUUACGAGCACUCCGUGACAAUUCCCACGCGUUUAACAUGCUAAAACGCCGCGGCUUCUACCAGAACCCCUCUGCCGGUUGAAGGCGGUUUUAAAGUACUGCCACCAUUGUUCCGUGAAGUAGACGAGCAGAAUGGAACCUCUCGCGCGCGAGCUUUCAGGAUAAUAGCGCUGGAGACGUCUCUCGUCCACGGAAAAAAUUCCGCGAGGUAAGCGUCAGCGGACGCGUGGUUUCGAUCUACUCCGAGGAAUCGAUGUCUUUCGUCGGGAGACGAUAAGGACUGGCUGCUGAUGAUGCUUUAAUCGAAUGUGAAAAGAAUGGAGACGCGUUGUGUGUUAAGUGAUAAUCGAGUAGUCGAGGGAAAAAUCUCGUUCUGGAUGUGCUUCGGUACUGAAUUAAUUUAAUUGUCGUCUGAUUUUUGGAGGAUAUACUCGAGGCAAUAGUUCGUUAUAUGGAU
This 773-nucleotide unclassified non-coding RNA is filed under the name Bombus terrestris (buff-tailed bumblebee). Its description in RNAcentral is "misc RNA ENSBTSG00005028228.1". Lineage: Eukaryota; Metazoa; Arthropoda; Insecta; Hymenoptera; Apidae. The record is from RNAcentral.